CCGGAGCCGAAGCCCCGCCCACAAUCCGUGGCCCCGCCCCCACGCUCCGGGGUCCCCCAUGGUCAUCUGACCACCAGGUGUCCAUCCAAUGUCCAUCUGUCCAUCCAGUGUCCAUCUGUCCAUCCCAAUGUCCAUCCCAAUGUCCAUCUGUCCAUCCCAAUGUCCAUCUGUCCACCCGGUGUCCAUCUGUCCAUCCAGUUUCCACCCAAUGUCCACCCAAUGUCCAUCCAAUUUCCACCCAAUGUCCACCCAAUGUCCAUCCAAUGUCCAUCUGUCCAUCCCAAUGUCCAUCUGUCCAUCCAAUUUCCACCCAAUGUCCACCCAAUGUCCAUCCAAUUUCCACCCAAUGUCCACCCAAUGUCCACCCAAUGUCCAUCUGUCCAUCCAAUGUCCAUCCCAGUGUCCAUCUGUCCAUCCCAAUGUCCAUCCCAAUGUCCACCCGGUGUCAACCCAGUGUCCAUCUGUCCACCCAAUGUCCAUCCCAAUGUCCACUUCAAUGUCCAUCUGUCCAUCCAAUGUCCACCCAAUGUCCAUUCAACGUCCAUCUGUCCACUCGAUGUCCACCUCAAUGUCCAUCCCAAUGUCCAUCUGUCCACCUCAAUGUCCAUCUGUCCAUCCAAUGUCCACCCAAUGUCCACCCAAUGUCCAUCUCAAUGUCCAUCUGUCCACCUCAAUGUCCACCCAAUGUCCACCUCAAUGUCCAUCUGUCCACUCCGUGUCCAUCCCAAUGUCCACCCAAUGUCCAUUCAAUGUCCAUCUGUCCACCCGAUGUCCAUCUGUCCAUCCCAAUGUCCACCUCAAUGUCCACUUCAAUGUCCAUCUGUCCACCUCAAUGUCCAUCUGUCCACCUCAAUGUCCAUCCAGUGUCCACCUCAAUGUCAAUCUGUCCACCCAAUGUCCACCUCAAUGUCCAUCUGUCCACCUCAAUGUCCACCCAAUGUCCACCCAAUGUCCAUCUGUCCAUCCCAAUGUCCAUCUGUCCAUCCCAAUGUCCACCUCAAUGUCCAUCUGUCCACCCAAUGUCCAUCCCAAUGUCCACCCAAUGUCCACCUCAAUGUCCAUCUGUCCACCCAAUGUCCACCCAAUGUCCACUUCAAUGUCCAUCUGUCCACCUCAAUGUCCAUCCAGUGUCCACCUCAAUGUCCAUCUGUCCACCCAAUGUCCACUCAGUGUCCAUCUGUCCAUCCCAAUGUCCACCCGAUGUCCACCCAAUG
RNAcentral lists this long non-coding RNA (1214 nucleotides) under Chloebia gouldiae (Gouldian finch). RNAcentral's name for it is "Erythrura gouldiae (Gouldian finch) lncRNA (ENSEGOG00005011315.1)". The record is from RNAcentral. Lineage: Eukaryota; Metazoa; Chordata; Aves; Passeriformes; Passeridae.